This 253-nucleotide ribosomal RNA is filed under the name uncultured bacterium. Its description in RNAcentral is "partial 16S ribosomal RNA". It matches the Rfam family "Bacterial small subunit ribosomal RNA", at positions 524 to 776 of the family's 1533-position model. The record is from RNAcentral.
UACGUAGGUGGCAAGCGUUGUCCGGAUUUAUUGGGUUUAAAGGGUGCGUAGGCGGCCCUGUAAGUCAGUGCUGAAAUAUCCCAGCUUAACUGGGAGGGUGGCAUUGAUACUGCGGGGCUAGAGUACAGAUGAGGUAGGCGGAAUUGACGGUGUAGCGGUGAAAUGCUUAGAUAUCAGGAAGAACACCCGUGGCUAAGGCGGCUCUCUAGUACGGUACUGACGCUGAGACGCGAAAGCGUGGGGAGCGAACAGG